AUUGAACGCUGGCGGCAGGCUUAACACAUGCAAGUCGAGCGAGCGGCGGACGUGUGAGUUAUGUCUGGGAAACUUCCUGAUGGAUGGGGAUAACUACUGGACACUGUAGCUAAUACCGCAUCCCAUCAGAUGUGCCCAGCUGGGAGUAGCUAGUAGGUGGGGUAAUGGCUCACCUAGGCGACGAUCCCUAGCUGGUCUGAGAGGAUGACCAGCCACACUGGAACUGAGACACGGUCCAGACUCCGACGGGAGGCAGCAGUGGGGAAUAUUGGACAAUGGGCGCAAGCCUGAUGCAGCCAUGCCGCGUGUGUGAAGAAGGCCUUCGGGUUGUAAAGCACUUUAAGCGAGGAGGCGUUACUAGCAGAAGAAGCACCGGCUAACUCCGUGCCAGCAGCCGCGGUAAUUC
This 406-nucleotide ribosomal RNA is filed under the name uncultured bacterium. Its description in RNAcentral is "partial 16S ribosomal RNA". It matches the Rfam family "Bacterial small subunit ribosomal RNA", at positions 30 to 526 of the family's 1533-position model. The record is from RNAcentral.